RNAcentral lists this ribosomal RNA (528 nucleotides) under uncultured organism. RNAcentral describes it as "bacterial SSU rRNA". It matches the Rfam family "Bacterial small subunit ribosomal RNA", at positions 972 to 1510 of the family's 1533-position model. The record is from RNAcentral.
UACCUGGGCUUAAAUGUAGAACGACGGACCCGGGAAACUGGUCUUUCUUCGGACGGUCUGCAAGGUGCUGCAUGGCUGUCGUCAGCUCGUGCCGUGAGGUGUCGGGUUAAGUCCCAUAACGAGCGCAACCCUCAUCAUUAGUUGCCAGCGGGUAAUGCCGGGGACUCUAAUGAAACUGCCGGUGUAAACCGAGAGGAAGGUGGGGAUGACGUCAAGUCAGCACGGCCCUUAUGUCCAGGGCUACACACGUGUUACAAUGGUCGGUACAAAGGGCAGCUACCUGGCGACAGGAUGCUAAUCUCGAAAACCGAUCUCAGUUCGGAUCGAAGUCUGCAACUCGACUUCGUGAAGCUGGAUUCGCUAGUAAUCGCGCAUCAGCCAUGGCGCGGUGAAUACGUUCCCGGGCCUUGUACACACCGCCCGUCAAGCCAUGGAAGCUGGGGGUACCUGAAGUCCGUAACCGCAAGGAGCGGCCUAGGGUAAAACUAGUAACUGGGGCUAAGUCGUAACAAGGUAACCAAGGGCGAA